This 484-nucleotide ribosomal RNA is filed under the name uncultured bacterium. RNAcentral's name for it is "partial 16S ribosomal RNA". It matches the Rfam family "Bacterial small subunit ribosomal RNA", at positions 28 to 523 of the family's 1533-position model. The record is from RNAcentral.
GAUGAACGCUGGCGGCGUGCUUAACACAUGCAAGUCGAACGGUGAAGCAGGAGCUUGCUCUUGUGGAUCAGUGGCGAACGGGUGAGUAACACGUGAGCAACCUGCACCUGACUCUGGGAUAAGCGCUGGAAACGGCGGCUAAUACUGGAUAUGUGAUGGGACCGCAUUGUCUGCAUCUGGAAAGAAUUUCGGUUGGGGAUGGGCUCGCGGCCGAUCAGCUUGUUGGUGAGGUAAUGGCUCACCAAGGCGUCGACGGGUAGCCGGCCUGAGAGGGUGACCGGCCACACUGGGACUGAGACACGGCCCAGACUCCUACGGGAGGCAGCAGUGGGGAAUAUUGCACAAUGGGCGGAAGCCUGAUGCAGCAACGCCGCGUGAGGGAUGACGGCCUUCGGGUUGUAAACCUCUUUUAGCAGGGAAGAAGCGAAAGUGACGGUACCUGCAGAAAAAGCACCGGCUAACUACGUGCCAGCCGCCGCCGUAA